Molecule: long non-coding RNA, 880 nt
Filed under: Homo sapiens (human)
Lineage: Eukaryota; Metazoa; Chordata; Mammalia; Primates; Hominidae
Description: MEF2C antisense RNA 1, transcript variant 2 (MEF2C-AS1)
Source: RNAcentral
AAUUAUUGCCGAUCCUCCCCUCCAACACUGCUCUCAUCACCUAUAUACUCUUCUCUCUGCCCGUCUCUGCUUCCCCCCCCUUCCCCCCCCCCUUUUCUCCCGGCCGACGGAGCUGAAGGGGCGGGGGUUCCUUCCUUGGAGUGUUUCUAGAGCUCGGAGGCUGCUGGUAGGGGGGCACCACUUUCAGAUAAAAACAUAGACCUGAAUGGCAUCAUCCAGUAUCCAAGGAAACCAUGCUUGCUUGAAGAGUGAGCAGGUGAGCAAAGAGACAAGAUUACAUGUUUAAACCAAGAAAAGAAUCUUGAAAAACAGAUUGGAAGAAUGCGAAAUGUUAUUAGACACAGGCACAGCAUAGCAGUAGAAACAUCUUAACUGAGAACUUGGAACUGAAAGAGAAAGCAACCAACUUAAAGGGCAGACAAGACACAUGGUUAUGUAACACAGCAGUGGGUAUUCACAGUGAUGACACAAGACAAAACAAUUACAUUUUCAUUCUAAAAGUAAUUUUUAAGGAGGCAAGGGCAUUUAUAAAACAUUUUAGAAACUAUUUAAUAAAAAUGGUAAAAUUAAAGUGUUUGUUUAUGUACUCAACAAAUAUUUAUUUGGAAAGUGCAUGCCUGGGGGCACAUCUCGUUAAUGAGGUGAUCCUGUGUUUAGAACUGAAGGCAGUCCUCAUCCAUUCUCUCAAAAGGUGACCUUCUUUGUUCUUCUUAUAGCCUCACCACAUUUAAUUUUCAGAGGUUUUGACAUAAAUUAAAAACAUUCUUUGGUAGAUUGUAUUGUAUGAAAACAAUCUUCAAAAGUGUAAGCAUUGAUAUCUGGAAUAUCUGGGAAAAUGUACAAUAAAGACAUCUCUUCUGGUCUUAAAAAAAAAAAAAAA